RNAcentral lists this ribosomal RNA (910 nucleotides) under Papulaspora pannosa. RNAcentral's name for it is "LSU rRNA". It matches the Rfam family "Eukaryotic large subunit ribosomal RNA", at positions 38 to 966 of the family's 3401-position model. Lineage: Eukaryota; Fungi; Ascomycota; Sordariomycetes; Sordariales. The record is from RNAcentral.
GCAUAUCAAUAAGCGGAGGAAAAGAAAACAACAGGGAUUGCCCUAGUAACGGCGAGUGAAGCGGCAACAGCUCAAAUUUGAAAUCUGGCUCUUUCAGAGUCCGAGUUGUAAUUUGCAGAGGGCGCUUUGGUGUUGGCAGCGGUCCAAGUUCCUUGGAACAGGACGUCACAGAGGGUGAGAAUCCCGUACGUGGUCGCUAGCCUUCGCCGUGUAAAGCCCCUUCGACGAGUCGAGUUGUUUGGGAAUGCAGCUCUAAAUGGGAGGUAAAUUUCUUCUAAAGCUAAAUACUGGCCAGAGACCGAUAGCGCACAAGUAGAGUGAUCGAAAGAUGAAAAGCACUUUGGAAAGAGAGUCAAAUAGCACGUGAAAUUGUUGAAAGGGAAGCGCUUGCAGCCAGACUUGCCUGUAGUUGCUUAUCCGGACUUUUGUCCGGUGCACUCUUCUGCGGGCAGGCCAGCAUCAGUUUGGGCGGUUGGAUAAAGGUCUCUGUCAUGUACCUCUCUUCGGGGAGAACUUAUAGGGGAGACGACAUGCAACCAGCCUGGACUGAGGUCCGCGCAUCUGCUAGGAUGCUGGCGUAAUGGCUGUAAGCGGCCCGUCUUGAAACACGGACCAAGGAGUCUAACAUCUAUGCGAGUGUUUGGGUGUCAAGCCCAGACGCGUAAUGAAAGUGAACGGAGGUGGGAACCCUUUGGGUGCACCAUCGACCGAUCCUGAUGUCUUCGGAUGGAUUUGAGUAAGAGCAUGGCUGUUGGGACCCGAAAGAUGGUGAACUAUGCUUGAAUAGGGUGAAGCCAGAGGAAGACUCUGGUGGAGGCUCGCAGCGGUUCUGACGUGCAAAUCGAUCGUCAAAUUUGGGCAUAGGGGCGAAAGACUAAUCGAACUAUCUAGUAGCUGGUUCCUGCCGAAG